This 25-nucleotide non-coding RNA is filed under the name Cricetulus griseus (Chinese hamster). The record is from RNAcentral. Lineage: Eukaryota; Metazoa; Chordata; Mammalia; Rodentia; Cricetidae.
UGGAACAACUGUGCAUUCUUAGAGU